This 287-nucleotide long non-coding RNA is filed under the name Solanum tuberosum (potato). RNAcentral describes it as "long non-coding RNA (STUB_LNC000688)". The record is from RNAcentral. Lineage: Eukaryota; Viridiplantae; Streptophyta; Magnoliopsida; Solanales; Solanaceae.
CCCCAGCUUCUUCGGAGGAAUAUUAAAAUUUUAUAAUAAACCGACCGAGCCUUAUAUAGGCUGCCUACGUAUCCGCCAAGGAAAUCAGGUCGAACGUAGUUCCAAUUACAUGCAAAAGAUAUAUUGAAAUUUCUAAUUAAAUAUGACCGAGUCCCUAUGUGGGCUGCCUACGUAUCCACCAAGGAAAUCAGGUCAAGCGUAGUUCACCUUACAUAAAAAGAAAUUUAAAACAUACAAAUAAUGAUCACUUAAAGCUCACACCCUUUAGAUGCCCUAUUAGGAGGCCC